CCUACGGGAGGCAGCAGUGAGGAAUAUUGGUCAAUGGACGAGAGUCUGAACCAGCCAAGUCGCGUGAAGGAUGACUGCCCUAUGGGUUGUAAACUUCUUUUAUCUGGGAAUAAAACGUUCCACGUGUGGGAUUUUGUAUGUACCAUAUGAAUAAGGAUCGGCUAACUCCGUGCCAGCAGCCGCGGUAAUACGGAGGAUCCGAGCGUUAUCCGGCUUUAUUGGGUUUAAAGGGAGCGUAGGUGGAUUGUUAAGUCAGUUGUGAAAGUUUGCGGCUCAACCGUAAAAUUGCAGUUGAAACUGGCAGUCUUGAGUACAGUAGAGGUGGGCGGAAUUCGUGGUGGAGCGGUGAAAUGCUUAGAUAUCACGAAGAACUCCGAUUGCGAAGGCAGUUCACUGGACUGCAACUGACACUGAGGCUCGAAAGUGUGGGUAUCAAACAGGAUUAGAUACCCCAGUAGUC
This 460-nucleotide ribosomal RNA is filed under the name uncultured bacterium. Its description in RNAcentral is "partial 16S ribosomal RNA". It matches the Rfam family "Bacterial small subunit ribosomal RNA", at positions 338 to 795 of the family's 1533-position model. The record is from RNAcentral.